RNAcentral lists this ribosomal RNA (499 nucleotides) under uncultured bacterium. RNAcentral's name for it is "partial 16S ribosomal RNA". It matches the Rfam family "Bacterial small subunit ribosomal RNA", at positions 27 to 507 of the family's 1533-position model. The record is from RNAcentral.
GGACGAACGCUGGCGGCGUGCCUAAUACAUGCAAGUCGAACGAGAGCGACCGGUGCUUGCACUGGUCAAUCUAGUGGCGAACGGGUGAGUAACACGUGGGUAACCUGCUCAUCCGAGGGGGAUAACAUCCGGAAACGGAUGCUAAAACCGCAUAGGUCUUCGAGCCGCAUGGCUUGAAGAGGAAAAGAGGCGCAAGCUUCUGCUGAUGGAUGGACCCGCGGUGCAUUAGCUAGUUGGUGAGGUAACGGCUCACCAAGGCCGUGAUGCAUAGCCGACCUGAGAGGGUGAUCGGCCACAUUGGGACUGAGACACGGCCCAAACUCCUACGGGAGGCAGCAGUAGGGAAUCUUCCGCAAAGGACGCAAGUCUGACGGAGCUACGCCGCGUGAGUGAAGAAGGUUUUCGGAUCGUAAAACUCUGUUGUUAGAGAAGAACAAGUGCUAGAGUAACUGUUAGCGCCUUGACGGUAUCUAACCAGAAAGCCACGGCUAACUACGUG